GAUGAACGCUAGCGACAGGCCUAACACAUGCAAGUCGAGGGGCAUCGAGGAUUAGCAAUAAUUUGUCGGCGACCGGCGCACGGGUGAGUAACACGUAUGCAACCUGGCUUCAACACGAGAAUAACCCGUUGAAAGACGGCCUAAUACUCGAUAAAACAGGGACCCCGCCUGGGGAUAUUUGUUAAAGAUUAAUCGGUUGGAGAUGGGCAUGCGUAUGAUUAGCUAGUUGGUGAGGUAACGGCUCACCAAGGCAGCGAUCAUUAGGGGUUCUGAGAGGAAGGUCCCCCACACUGGUACUGAGACACGGACCAGACUCCUACGGGAGGCAGCAGUGAGGAAUAUUGGUCAAUGGGCGCGAGCCUGAACCAGCCAAGUCGCGUGAAGGAAGACUGCCCUAUAGGUUGUAAACUUCUUUUGUACAGGAAUAAAGUGAGUCACGUGUGGCUUUUUGUAUGUACUGUACGAAUAAGGAUCGGCUAACUCCGUGCCAGCAGCCGCGGUAAUACGGAGGAUCCAAGCGUUAUCCGGAUUUAUUGGGUUUAAAGGGUGCGUAGGCGGACUUGUAAGUCAGUGGUGAAAGUUUUGAGCUUAACUGAAAAAUUGCCAUUGAAACUGCGGGUCUUGAGUGCAAAUGAGGUAUGCGGAAUGUGUUGUGUAGCGGUGAAAUGCAUAGAUAUGACACAGAACUCCGAUUGCGAAGGCAGCAUACUGGGAUGCAACUGACGCUGAUGCACGAAAGCGUGGGUAUCAAACAGGAUUAGAUACCCUGGUAGUCCACGCAGUAAACGAUGAAUACUCGCUGUUUGCGAUAUACAGUAAGCGGCCAAGCGAAAGCGUUAAGUAUUCCACCUGGGGAGUACGUUCGCAGAUG
Molecule: ribosomal RNA, 871 nt
Filed under: uncultured bacterium
Lineage: Bacteria
Description: bacterial SSU rRNA
Rfam family: Bacterial small subunit ribosomal RNA
Source: RNAcentral